RNAcentral lists this ribosomal RNA (464 nucleotides) under uncultured bacterium. RNAcentral's name for it is "partial 16S ribosomal RNA". It matches the Rfam family "Bacterial small subunit ribosomal RNA", at positions 28 to 507 of the family's 1533-position model. The record is from RNAcentral.
GACGAACGCUGGCGGCGUGCUUAACACAUGCAAGUCGAACGGUAAGGCCCCUUCGGGGGUACACGAGUGGCGAACGGGUGAGUAACACGUGAGCAACCUGCCCUUGACUUUGGGAUACCAGCUGGAAACAGCUGCUAAUACCGGAUAUGACCUCUUCUCUCAUGGGUUGAGGUGGAAAGCUCCGGCGGUCAGGGAUGGGCUCGCGGCCUAUCAGCUUGUUGGUGAGGUAAUGGCUCACCAAGGCUUCGACGGGUAGCCGGCCUGAGAGGGCGACCGGCCACACUGGGACUGAGAUACGGCCCAGACUCCUACGGGAGGCAGCAGUGGGGAAUAUUGCACAAUGGGCGCAAGCCUGAUGCAGCAACGCCGCGUGCGGGAUGACGGCCUUCGGGUUGUAAACCGCUUUCAGUAGGGACGAAGCUAACGUGACGGUACCUACAGAAGAAGGACCGGCUAUCUACGUG